AUUGAACGCUGGCGGAAUGCUUUACACAUGCAAGUCGAACGGCAGCACGGACUUCGGUCUGGUGGCGAGUGGCGAACGGGUGAGUAAUGUAUCGGAACGUGCCCAGUCGUGGGGGAUAACGUAGUGAAAAUUACGCUAAUACCGCAUACGAUCUAUGGAUGAAAGCGGGGGAUCGCAAGACCUCGCGCGAGUGGAGCGGCCGAUAUCAGAUUAGGUAGUGGGUGGGGUAAAGGCCCCACAAGCCAACGAUCUGUAGCUGGUCUGAGAGGACGACCAGCCACACUGGAACUGAGACACGGUCCAAACUCCUACGGGAGGCAGCAGUGGGGAAUUUUGGACAAUGGGCGAAAGCCUGAUCCAGCCAUUCCGCGUGCAGGAUGAAGGCCCUCGGGUUGUAAACUGCUUUUGUACAGAACGAAAAGGUUUCUACUAAUAAUAGGAGCUCAUGACGGUACUGUAAGAAUAAGCACCGGCUAACUACGUGCCAGCAGCCGCAGUAA
Molecule: ribosomal RNA, 500 nt
Filed under: uncultured bacterium
Lineage: Bacteria
Description: partial 16S ribosomal RNA
Rfam family: Bacterial small subunit ribosomal RNA
Source: RNAcentral